This 397-nucleotide ribosomal RNA is filed under the name uncultured bacterium. Its description in RNAcentral is "partial 16S ribosomal RNA". It matches the Rfam family "Bacterial small subunit ribosomal RNA", at positions 523 to 918 of the family's 1533-position model. The record is from RNAcentral.
AUACGUAGGUGACAAGCGUUAUCCGGAUUUACUGGGCGUAAAGGGCGUGUAGGCGGUCUUGCAAGUCAGAAGUGAAAUUCCUGAGCUCAACUCGGGCGCUGCUUCUGAAACUGCAGGACUUGAGUGCUGGAGGGGAUAGCGGAAUUCCUAGUGGAGCGGUAAAAUGCGCAGAUAUUAGGAAGAACACCGGUGGCGAAGGCGGAUAUCUAGACAGUAACUGACGCUGAGCCGCGAAAGCGGGGGGAGAAAACAGGGUGAGAGAUCCGGGUAGUCCCCGCCGUAAACGAUGAAUACUAGGUGUAGGGGGUAUCGACUCCCUCUGUGCCGCAGUUAACACAAUAAGUAUUCCGCCUGGGGAGUACGGCCGCAAGGUUGAAACUCAAAGGAAUUGACGGGG